This 384-nucleotide ribosomal RNA is filed under the name uncultured bacterium. RNAcentral's name for it is "bacterial SSU rRNA". It matches the Rfam family "Bacterial small subunit ribosomal RNA", at positions 30 to 416 of the family's 1533-position model. The record is from RNAcentral.
AUUGAACGCUGGCGGCAUGCUUUACACAUGCAAGUCGAACGGUAACAGCACUUCGGUGGCUGACGAGUGGCGAACGGGUGAGUAAUGUAUCGGAACGUGCCCAGUAGUGGGGGAUAACUACUCGAAAGAGUAGCUAAUACCGCAUGAGAUCUCUGGAUGAAAGCGGGGGACCGUAAGGCCUCGCGCUACUGGAGCGGCCGAUAUCAGAUUAGGUUGUUGGUGAGGUAAAGGCUCACCAAGCCGACGAUCUGUAGCUGGUCUGAGAGGACGACCAGCCACACUGGGACUGAGACACGGCCCAGACUCCUACGGGAGGCAGCAGUGGGGAAUUUUGGACAAUGGACGCAAGUCUGAUCCAGCAAUGCCGCGUGCAGGACGAAGGCC